AUUUUUGUUCCUAAACAUCCCAAGAAAAAAUGAAGGAGCUGCAAGUGCCACAACACAUAUGGGGACGCCCACUAGUUACCUGGGUUUGCUGCCAUGCAUGUUUUACUGGGAGCUCUGUUGAGAGAAGAACAAAACUCCUGCAAAGAUCUAAGCAGGAUGUUUUGCUUUGGUGUGAGAAUAGCUGAUUCAUUGGCUAAAUCUGCUUGUAAUUUUUAUGUAGCUAGCUUAAUAGCCCUGGUUUCUACCAUCUGUAUUUUGAUAGCCCUAUGACAGUGCAGGCUAUAUCCAUGCCAGUUAACGAAUCCUAUAGUGUUCUGUGGCUGAAAACAGCCUGAGACAUGCCCAACCUGUUGAACUGCAUUCAUUUGGGUGACCUGCCCCAAAAGUUAUUUGACACAUCGGUACAGAAAAAAUACUGAAAGCAACUGGAUCCAGUUUUUGUGAUGUCUCUGCCUGCCCAGCCCCUCGGAACAAAAUAUUUUUCUGCCAAAAAAAAAGAGUUACUGGGUAGGAUAAGAAUUGUGUGGUAUGAAUGCACGAGUCAAAUUUCUUUAAGAGGAGAAAUCAGUUAAUGCCUCCCAGUAGACAGCGCAGAGGGACAUCAUGGUUACUAUAGGGUUUCUACUCUGUGUGAAGUUGUUAGGGAGAGAGCUCGGCCAUCAACACAAGAAAAAAGGACCUGUAUGACAAAGAAGGUGGGGUGACUGUAUCUGGCUGAAAUACUAACAAACUUGAGAGUGUUGUGAAAUAUAAGGAUGGGGUGGGAUUGGGCAUCUCAGAACCAUCAUUAAAAUGCUCUAAAACCAGAAGUUGCUGUGGUUAGAGAUUCUUUUCCUAUGUGUGUUUCUGUUGCUUUUCCUGGUAAGUUGUCUGAAAGAGGGGUUUAAGUAGAGUUUCAGAGGGCUCCUGUUUUAGGUUGGGCUCUGCAGAGAACAUGUCUGGAGACAUGGAGAUCUUAAGGUGCAUGGUGGUACCCACAGCCCCCAGAAGGAGCCUCUAUGGAUCCUUUAGAGCCAGAGUCAGAGGCAAUGCCUCUUACUCACCUGGAAUUCCUUAACAGACUUGUCUCUGUAGCCAAGAAUGGGCCUGGAUUGUAUUGUCAACUAUCUCAGAAUGCUGUUUUAUUUUUUUUAACAAAAAUCAUUAUACCAAGGUAAUCUUAACUGUCAAACGGAGCUGUACAUACUUUGCAUUGUACAUUGUUUCCUUUUAUGUACUGUUUGUCAUUAACAGUCUUGGCUUGACUGCUUCCCAGGUAGUAAAUAUAUUC
RNAcentral lists this long non-coding RNA (1270 nucleotides) under Calidris pugnax (ruff). RNAcentral describes it as "lncRNA (ENSCPUG00000013832.1)". The record is from RNAcentral. Lineage: Eukaryota; Metazoa; Chordata; Aves; Charadriiformes; Scolopacidae.